This 466-nucleotide ribosomal RNA is filed under the name uncultured bacterium. RNAcentral's name for it is "bacterial SSU rRNA". It matches the Rfam family "Bacterial small subunit ribosomal RNA", at positions 34 to 518 of the family's 1533-position model. The record is from RNAcentral.
CGCUGGCGGCGUGCCUAACACAUGCAAGUCGAGCGAGGAGAUCCUCGGGAUGAUCCUAGCGGCGGACGGGUGAGUAACACGUGGGCAACCUGCCUCAUAGAGAGGAAUAGCCUUCCGAAAGGGAGAUUAAUACCUCAUAACAUUGCAGUUUCGCAUGGAACAGCAAUUAAAGGAGUAAUCCGCUAUGAGAUGGGCCCGCGGCGCAUUAGCUAGUUGGUGAGGUAACGGCUCACCAAGGCGACGAUGCGUAGCCGACCUGAGAGGGUGAUCGGCCACAUUGGGACUGAGACACGGCCCAGACUCCUACGGGAGGCAGCAGUGGGGAAUAUUGCACAAUGGGGGAAACCCUGAUGCAAGCAACGCCGCGUGAGUGAUGACGGCCUUCGGGUUGUAAAGCUCUGUCUUCAGGGACGAUAAUGACGGUACCUGAGGAGGAAGCCACGGCUAACUACGUGCCAGCCGCUGC